CAGUGGCUUUGUGUAAGAGCAACUGUAUGUAUGACAUUUCUGUACUGUACUGUAUGUAAAGCUGGUUCAUGGCAAUGUUUAUGAAACCUUCAUUAUUGUACAUUGCAUUCACAAAGAAUAUAAUGUUCCAUUAGACUAGGACUUUAGUUGCAGUCAUAGAUAUCCCACCAAGCUGCCUCCCUGAUAGAGACUGCACACUCUUUUAUCUUGUAUAAAGUACACAUAAAUUAUUUAGGUUAAUCAGAUGCCAAAACUUUAUUUCAAUAGUCGAAUACACAGGAAUGUAAUCCCAGUACCGAGUCAAAGCAAUUUGGAAAGGGUCAUAAAAUAUUGUUAGCAUUUCUUUCAGCUAAGUGGUAGUGUAUGGAAAUGAUCUGACUGAUUUUAUAAAUGGCGUGUUGCAUGGCUAAAUGUACCAACACUGUAAACAGUCAUAAUUCAAUAUUGAAAGGAUAUUUAAAAUGUAAUGUGCCUGCUAGUUAAUAAGCCAAGGGGUAGACCUUUUAUGGGGGUAUUACUUUGAAGUGAAAUUUGGAGACUACUUUCAAAGAACGUCCUUGAUGACACAACUGCUAAGUUUCAGCUACAAAGCCUUGGUAAAUAUUUUCAUAUAGCUUACAUAUAUACCAGGUUUAAUGGGAAACACAUGGCAAGUCAUUUACUUACCCCGAAAGAGUGCUGUCUCCAAGAUGGGGAAGCAGCCUAUUUGAUAUUGUGUGCAGUAGUGACUAUGGGGGUCAUUUAUUAAGCGUUUUAGAUGCCGGUCUUAAUAACCCCAUUGACUGGCUGUGGAUCCGCGGCCUCUACAUAACUUUGGCGCAUCCACCACCGGUCUAAAUCUAUGUCAGAUUCCUUGCUGGCUAAAAUUUAGACGAACAGGCUUACAAAAUGAUAAAUCAGACAAGCCUGUCGGCCCUUCCCCUCCCACCCCCUUUUUAUAGACCUGGUGGGAGCAGGGAAAAAUCGCAGAUUGCAGCACAAAUAACCUUUGCACCACAAUCUGCGCCAGAAAUAUGCCAAGAAUAGGCAAAUUACUAAAUGAUCCCCUAUAUGUCUAUAUACUGACUAUAUAUCUAUAAGCCUUUAAAACAAAAUGGCUGUAAGAGAACUUCGGGGAGAUUUAUGAAAAUAGCAACCAAUCACAGGUAGCUUGCAUUUCUCAAGCAGAAUACGAAACGAAAGCUGGUUGAUAAGGGUAAGAACCUUUUAGAGAGGUUCAUAAAUCUGCCCCAUAUCUUUGUAUUGGUUGGAAAAUCAUCACCAUGUUUGUAUUCAGUCCUCUUCUUCACAUUUAAAUUACAUAGACACUCCUAAGCAACUUCUUGCCCCUUUUCUCCAUGUGCUGAAUUAAAGAAAUCCUGUCUCACAGCCCAGAUCAUAUAUGUGUCAUAUUCCACAAUAACAUUAUAUACAAUAUAUGUGCCUAUUAGAGAUGAGCGAAUUAUUGGAAAAUUUGAUUUGGCUGCUUCGCCGAAUAAAAAAUUUAAAAAAAGUUUCCUGAUGAAUUACGGUACUUUGUCACGAAGUGCAUUUCUUUGUAAGUAGUGUGUUCAAUGACAGGGUGCGGCGAUUGUGCCACUCCUCGUCAUUGUCCCCCUAAGAUGCCACGUUCAUACAUGAUCGCGGCAUCUGAUAUAAAUUACAGAGUGUAAAAUAAAAAAUAAAUAAAAAUAAUUACAGAGUAUAAGAUUU
Bufo bufo (common toad) is the source of this 1692-nucleotide long non-coding RNA. RefSeq lists it as uncharacterized. The record is from RefSeq and is a predicted model, not a curated record. The transcript has 3 exons. Lineage: Eukaryota; Metazoa; Chordata; Amphibia; Anura; Bufonidae.